RNAcentral lists this small RNA (365 nucleotides) under Arabidopsis thaliana (thale cress). RNAcentral's name for it is "ATSL128620". Lineage: Eukaryota; Viridiplantae; Streptophyta; Magnoliopsida; Brassicales; Brassicaceae. The record is from RNAcentral.
AAUACUAAAAUAAAAAAAUAAAAAGAUAAAGACAAACAAAAUAAAAUAAAAAUGGUUCUUCAUAUAAUUUUUAUUCUCUCUCAAGAUAAAGGGUAUUUUAGUAUUUGAUAUGUAUUUUGUUUUUUAGUCUAUUAGACAAAUUCUCUAUCUCACAAAAAGCAAAAAAAGUAUCUAUUUCUCUAAUUUAAAAAAAAAACUACCUACUUUACAAAUUAUUUUUGAAAAAGUGUCUACUUUGCCAAUAAGCCUUUAAAACUUCCCUAAAAUAGUCAUGUCCAUAAUAAUUUCAAUGAAUUAGAAAUUGACAAACAAUAGAAAAUAAAAUAUGUGGCUGAUACUUCAAACUAAAAUAAUUUCCAAAAAAU